CAGAAAUAAGUCAACUACACUAGCUUCAGUAACUCCUGCAUUCCUACUUGCUUCUCUCCACCGAAAGCUACUGAAUGGUGGCACGUUUAGAUCCAUAGCUACAAAUUGAAGGUCCACAACUUAAGGGUUAACCCCCAAGCAAUCUGUUGCUUGUUAUGGUUCUUGACUGCAUGUCAUUGGUGGCAGACAAGCAUAGAGAUGUUUUAUAGUACAGCUAUAAGGAAAACUGUGUGAAAGAACUCCAUGGAGUGCGGUAAGUACUGGUUAGGAUCUCCAGCAGCCCCAUGGAAUACAAGAGAGAGAGAGAGAUGAACAACUUGUUUACAUGACAUCAGAUCACGAAAUUACUAGUUCAAAUUAUGCUCUUAGAAGCAGAAAGUUCACAGGCUAUGUGUACGAGGACACAGGAUGCAAGAGAUACGUUGGCACCAUCGUGACUGGGGGGCAGUACAAGCAACAAAAUGCCAUCACAGCCUACCUAAACUGAGCCAUGGUGAGUGGAUGGAUAAGCAUGUUCACCUUGAGCAAGUGCAUGUGGCUGCAAAAAGGUGGCCAGGGAAAGAAGUGGAAGCAAUAGUGCGCCCAAGAGGGAGUCAAACCGAAAUCACUGGUUGAUACUCUGGUGCUGCUUACUGUUUACCUGCUUGUGCAGCUCUGCUCUCAUAUCCUUUUCAUCUUGGUGGUCUGGUUGGACCUGUUGCUUUAUAAAAUCAGGACCAAGAUUUCGAUAGUGUCAAUCUUAUCAUUCAGGCCAACUUAUAGACCAAGUUGACUUGCUAUCCAUGUCACUUGCUCUAUUGCCAUGCCAUUGAACAGUGCAUUAGGAUUAGAGACAAUAAUGUGUUUUUUCCAUGUAAUUGAUCUUGAUCUUGUUAAUGUUGUUAGUAUUUUUUUUUACUCCUUAAUAGGAAAGGGUUAUUCGGGGAACCGAGACAAGAAAUUCAAGUAUGAAAAGAAACUCUUAGAAAUUAAGGUUUGCUGCUCUAUGAAUGCGCCAGAUAUCUUUAAGGUCUUGAAAAGGCAAGGAGUGAUGUAGAACAAGGAACAUUUGAAAUAUUCAGCAUAUUUUUCUCUGAAAAA
Long non-coding RNA from Musa acuminata subsp. malaccensis (wild Malaysian banana), 1080 nucleotides. RefSeq lists it as uncharacterized. Lineage: Eukaryota; Viridiplantae; Streptophyta; Magnoliopsida; Zingiberales; Musaceae. The record is from RefSeq and is a predicted model, not a curated record.